UUAGUAACGGCGAGCGAACAGGGAAGAGCCCAGCACUGAAUCGCGCGGCCAAUCGGUCGUAGCGAAAUGUAGUGUAUGGGAGGAUUCUGCUGCUAUCAAACAAUGUGUCCAAGUCCUUCUUGAACGGGGCCGUUUACCCAUAGAGGGUGCCAGGCCCGUAGAGACCAUUGUCGAUGGCGUAGUCAGAAUCUCUCCUUUGAGUCGGGUUGCUUGAGAGUGCAGCCCUAAGUAGGUGGUAAGCUCCAUCUAAGGCUAAAUAUAACCACGAGUCCGAUAGCGAACAAGUACCGUGAGGGAAAGUUGAAAAGGACUUUGAAGAGAGAGUUCAAGAGUACGUGAAACCGUUUAGUUGAAAACCUGAGAGGCCUGAAGUUCGAAUGGGGAGAUUCAUUGUGUGAAGCUUGGGCGAGUGCAGUUAGUAUCAGUGUUUGCCUCUGUGCAUUCAUUGUUUGCUUCCGUGCGCCGCUAUCUUGUGGAUCGCGUGCACUUUUCCCCUAGUAGAACGUCGCGACCCGUUKGGUGUCGGUMKUGGCUCGCAGUGGAGCCCGGCCUUCGGCUUCGGUCGAUUGUCCGGACCUGUGAUGUCCCGUCCGGCUGCUCGACGGUCGUGGAAUACUAGAGGCGUAGAGCGUCGCCUUGGUGCGCGUUCGGCCUGAUUCUGACGCAUUCGGUUACCCACACACCGCACUUGUGUCGGUCGCGGGGCCGUUUGGCAGUUAGUUUCGGUGUUUCCGGACAGUCUCUACGCCUGUUAGCGGCGCGCUAGCGUUAGGCCCUUACAGGUCCCGUCUUGAAACACGGACCAAGGAGUCUAGCAUGUACGCAAGUCACUGGGACCAACGAAUCCUAAAGGCGAAAUGAAAGUAAAGGCAAAUGUUGCUUUUGCAAUGAGGGAGGAAAGGUCGCGAAAGGGGCCCGUCUCUCCCGGGGUGUCUCGUUCUCAUUGCGAGAAGAGGCGCACCUUGAGCGUACAUGCUGGUACCCGAAAGAUGGUGAACUAUGCCUGUUCGGAAC
RNAcentral lists this ribosomal RNA (1014 nucleotides) under Thiasophila angulata. Its description in RNAcentral is "eukaryotic LSU rRNA". It matches the Rfam family "Eukaryotic large subunit ribosomal RNA", at positions 80 to 847 of the family's 3401-position model. Lineage: Eukaryota; Metazoa; Arthropoda; Insecta; Coleoptera; Staphylinidae. The record is from RNAcentral.